This 972-nucleotide long non-coding RNA is filed under the name Equus caballus (horse). RNAcentral's name for it is "lncRNA (ENSECAG00000032651.3)". The record is from RNAcentral. Lineage: Eukaryota; Metazoa; Chordata; Mammalia; Perissodactyla; Equidae.
GAGAGAAAGUAUGUGAAGAGCUUAAUCCGCAGCGGGUCUAUCUGUGCGCGUGUGUGCGCAGAGCCUGGCCUCCCAGGGCCGGUCACCCCUGCGGCUCAGGGCUCUGUGUGUGUGUGUGUGCACUUGUGUGUGCACGUGCGUGUGCACGCCUGAGACCGUGGUGGGCGUGGAGUCCAGACAUGGCGGGGCUGCCUUCAGGGCGAGUCCUGGUCUCAGCGGGCGCUGCGGUGGGCUGUCCAGACACCUGAGAAAAGCUCGGCUCGCUAGAUCGCUAGAACGCCCGCCCCCCAGGCCACCUGCCCCGGCUCCAGGAGGGGCCGCCCCUUCCUUCCUCCUGGGGAUGCGGAGAACAACACAGCCACCCAGGAAACACGUGUGCGCUGGGCCAUGGGGGCGGCGGAGGUGCUUGGAGCGGGUGGUCGACGCACUUUUUCUAGAUCCAGCCCCAGAAGGAACGGGGGCCGCCCUUCCGGGCUCUGCAUGUGACAAUUGCCAAGGCCCCGAGGUGGCCAGGAGUCUGUGCGGGGAGAGGAUAUUGGAACUGGAACCGUGGAUCUGGGAACUGACCCUCAGCUUUAUCAGGUUCCCCUGACGGCUGAUCACCUUGAUUGAGUCAAAUGCCACCUAAAACCCCAAAUCUCUAAAUUAUGGGGAAGACCUGGCCAAGGAAAGCAAAACCCGGACAAUUCAAGGGACUCCCUUUUCCAGCGUCUCAGACAGCAAGAUUGAUUGGAGACCAAGUUCAAGAAGAGACUCACUCAAAUGCUUUCUGCUCCAUUUCCUGACUUUGUUGGCUGGGUAGGAACUACACGCGAGUAAGAGAAGCAGAAGGAGAAGAUCACAGGACAGAGCUGGAGACCUUGUCCUUGUCUAGACACGCUGUGCACAGAUUUCAUAGGAUAAGGAAACGGGGGGUCAAGGCUGCCUCCCAAGUUGUUCUCCCUCUCAGGCUUUCCAGCGCACUCAACUCGC